UUGGAUAUUGUUGCACUCCUAUAG
Molecule: non-coding RNA, 24 nt
Filed under: Mus musculus (house mouse)
Lineage: Eukaryota; Metazoa; Chordata; Mammalia; Rodentia; Muridae
Source: RNAcentral